GAGGUCUUAGCUUAGUUAAAGUAUCUGAGUUGCAUUCAGGUGAUGUGGGGUAAAGUCCUGCAGGUCUUA
RNAcentral lists this transfer RNA (69 nucleotides) under Pachyhynobius shangchengensis (Shangcheng stout salamander). RNAcentral's name for it is "tRNA-Ala". It matches the Rfam family "tRNA". From Rfam's summary of the family: Transfer RNA (tRNA) molecules are approximately 80 nucleotides in length. Their secondary structure includes four short double-helical elements and three loops (D, anti-codon, and T loops). Further hydrogen bonds mediate the characteristic L-shaped molecular structure. tRNAs have two regions of fundamental functional importance: the anti-codon, which is responsible for specific mRNA codon recognition, and the 3' end, to which the tRNAs corresponding amino acid is attached (by aminoacyl-tRNA synthetases). tRNAs cope with the degeneracy of the genetic code in two manners: having more than one tRNA (with a specific anti-codon) for a particular amino acid; and 'wobble' base-pairing, i.e. permitting non-standard base-pairing at the 3rd anti-codon position. The record is from RNAcentral. Lineage: Eukaryota; Metazoa; Chordata; Amphibia; Caudata; Hynobiidae.